GGCGAUGAAGGACGUGCUAAUCUGCGAUAAGCGUCGGUAAGGUGAUAUGAACCGUUAUAACCGGCGAUUUCCGAAUGGGGAAACCCAGUGUGUUUCGACACACUAUCAUUAACUGAAUCCAUAGGUUAAUGAGGCGAACCGGGGGAACUGAAACAUCUAAGUACCCCGAGGAAAAGAAAUCAACCGAGAUUCCCCCAGUAGCGGCGAGCGAACGGGGAGCAGCCCAGAGCCUGAAUCAGUAUGUGUGUUAGUGGAAGCGUCUGGAAAGGCGCGCGAUACAGGGUGACAGCCCCGUACACAAAAAUGCACAUGCUGUGAGCUCGAUGAGUAGGGCGGGACACGUGGUAUCCUGUCUGAAUAUGGGGGGACCAUCCUCCAAGGCUAAAUACUCCUGACUGACCGAUAGUGAACCAGUACCGUGAGGGAAAGGCGAAAAGAACCCCGGCGAGGGGAGUGAAAAAGAACCUGAAACCGUGUACGUACAAGCAGUGGGAGCACGCUUAGGCGUGUGACUGCGUACCUUUUGUAUAAUGGGUCAGCGACUUAUAUUCUGUAGCAAGGUUAACCGAAUAGGGGAGCCGAAGGGAAACCGAGUCUUAACUGGGCGUUAAGUUGCAGGGUAUAGACCCGAAACCCGGUGAUCUAGCCAUGGGCAGGUUGAAGGUUGGGUAACACUAACUGGAGGACCGAACCGACUAAUGUUGAAAAAUUAGCGGAUGACUUGUGGCUGGGGGUGAAAGGCCAAUCAAACCGGGAGAUAGCUGGUUCUCCCCGAAAGCUAUUUAGGUAGCGCCUCGUGAAUUCAUCUCCGGGGGUAGAGCACUGUUUCGGCAAGGGGGUCAUCCCGACUUACCAACCCGAUGCAAACUGCGAAUACCGGAGAAUGUUAUCACGGGAGACACACGGCGGGUGCUAACGUCCGUCGUGAAGAGGGAAACAACCCAGACCGCCAGCUAAGGUCCCAAAGUCAUGGUUAAGUGGGAAACGAUGUGGGAAGGCCCAGACAGCCAGGAUGUUGGCUUAGAAGCAGCCAUCAUUUAAAGAAAGCGUAAUAGCUCACUGGUCGAGUCGGCCUGCGCGGAAGAUGUAACGGGGCUAAACCAUGCACCGAAGCUGCGGCAGCGACGCUGAUGCGUUGUUGGGUAGGGGAGCGUUCUGUAAGCCUGCGAAGGUGUACUGUGAGGUAUGCUGGAGGUAUCAGAAGUGCGAAUGCUGACAUAAGUAACGAUAAAGCGGGUGAAAAGCCCGCUCGCCGGAAGACCAAGGGUUCCUGUCCAACGUUAAUCGGGGCAGGGUGAGUCGACCCCUAAGGCGAGGCCGAAAGGCGUAGUCGAUGGGAAACAGGUUAAUAUUCCUGUACUUGGUGUUACUGCGAAGGGGGGACGGAGAAGGCUAUGUUGGCCGGGCGACGGUUGUCCCGGUUUAAGCGUGUAGGCUGGUUUUCCAGGCAAAUCCGGAAAAUCAAGGCUGAGGCGUGAUGACGAGGCACUACGGUGCUGAAGCAACAAAUGCCCUGCUUCCAGGAAAAGCCUCUAAGCAUCAGGUAACAUCAAAUCGUACCCCAAACCGACACAGGUGGUCAGGUAGAGAAUACCAAGGCGCUUGAGAGAACUCGGGUGAAGGAACUAGGCAAAAUGGUGCCGUAACUUCGGGAGAAGGCACGCUGAUAUGUAGGUGAAGUCCCUCGCGGAUGGAGCUGAAAUCAGUCGAAGAUACCAGCUGGCUGCAACUGUUUAUUAAAAACACAGCACUGUGCAAACACGAAAGUGGACGUAUACGGUGUGACGCCUGCCCGGUGCCGGAAGGUUAAUUGAUGGGGUCAGCGCAAGCGAAGCUCUUGAUCGAAGCCCCGGUAAACGGCGGCCGUAACUAUAACGGUCCUAAGGUAGCGAAAUUCCUUGUCGGGUAAGUUCCGACCUGCACGAAUGGCGUAAUGAUGGCCAGGCUGUCUCCACCCGAGACUCAGUGAAAUUGAACUCGCUGUGAAGAUGCAGUGUACCCGCGGCAAGACGGAAAGACCCCGUGAACCUUUACUAUAGCUUGACACUGAACAUUGAGCCUUGAUGUGUAGGAUAGGUGGGAGGCUUUGAAGUGUGGACGCCAGUCUGCAUGGAGCCGACCUUGAAAUACCACCCUUUAAUGUUUGAUGUUCUAACGUUGACCCGU
This 2166-nucleotide ribosomal RNA is filed under the name Escherichia coli. RNAcentral describes it as "partial 23S ribosomal RNA". It matches the Rfam family "Bacterial large subunit ribosomal RNA", at positions 45 to 2236 of the family's 2925-position model. The record is from RNAcentral. Lineage: Bacteria; Pseudomonadati; Pseudomonadota; Gammaproteobacteria; Enterobacterales; Enterobacteriaceae.